Molecule: transfer RNA, 90 nt
Filed under: Chloroflexota bacterium
Lineage: Bacteria; Bacillati; Chloroflexota
Description: tRNA-Ser
Rfam family: tRNA
About the family: Transfer RNA (tRNA) molecules are approximately 80 nucleotides in length. Their secondary structure includes four short double-helical elements and three loops (D, anti-codon, and T loops). Further hydrogen bonds mediate the characteristic L-shaped molecular structure. tRNAs have two regions of fundamental functional importance: the anti-codon, which is responsible for specific mRNA codon recognition, and the 3' end, to which the tRNAs corresponding amino acid is attached (by aminoacyl-tRNA synthetases). tRNAs cope with the degeneracy of the genetic code in two manners: having more than one tRNA (with a specific anti-codon) for a particular amino acid; and 'wobble' base-pairing, i.e. permitting non-standard base-pairing at the 3rd anti-codon position.
Source: RNAcentral
AGAGAGGUGGCCGAGUGGUCGAAGGCGCACGCCUGGAAAGUGUGUAUACACCAAAAAGUGUAUCGAGGGUUCGAAUCCCUUCCUCUCUGC